This 460-nucleotide ribosomal RNA is filed under the name uncultured bacterium. Its description in RNAcentral is "partial 16S ribosomal RNA". It matches the Rfam family "Bacterial small subunit ribosomal RNA", at positions 338 to 795 of the family's 1533-position model. The record is from RNAcentral.
CCUACGGGAGGCAGCAGUGAGGAAUAUUGGUCAAUGGACGAGAGUCUGAACCAGCCAAGUAGCGUGAAGGAUGACUGCCCUAUGGGUUGUAAACUUCUUUUAUAUGGGAAUAAAAUGUUCCACGUGUGGGUUUUUGUAUGUACCAUAUGAAUAAGGAUCGGCUAACUCCGUGCCAGCAGCCGCGGUAAUACGGAGGAUCCGAGCGUUAUCCGGAUUUAUUGGGUUUAAAGGGAGCGUAGGUGGAUUGUUAAGUCAGUUGUGAAAGUUUGCGGCUCAACCGUAAAAUUGCAGUUGAAACUGGCAGUCUUGAGUGCAGGAGAGGUGGGCGGAAUUCGUGGUGUAGCGGUGAAAUGCUUAGAUAUCACGAAGAACUCCGAUUGCGAAGGCAGCUCACUGGACUGCAACUGACACUGAGGCUCGAAAGUGUGGGUAUCAAACAGGAUUAGAUACCCCGGUAGUC